This 482-nucleotide ribosomal RNA is filed under the name uncultured bacterium. Its description in RNAcentral is "bacterial SSU rRNA". It matches the Rfam family "Bacterial small subunit ribosomal RNA", at positions 30 to 506 of the family's 1533-position model. The record is from RNAcentral.
UUGAACGCUGGCGGCAUGCCUUACACAUGCAAGUCGAACGGCAGCGCGGGGGCAACCCUGGCGGCGAGUGGCGAACGGGUGAGUAAUAUAUCGGAACGUGCCCUAGAGUGGGGGAUAACGUAGCGAAAGUUACGCUAAUACCGCAUACGAUCUACGGAUGAAAGCGGGGGAUCGCAAGACCUCGCGCUCAUGGAGCGGCCGAUAUCUGAUUAGCUAGUUGGUAGGGUAAAAGCCUACCAAGGCAUCGAUCAGUAGCUGGUCUGAGAGGACGACCAGCCACACUGGGACUGAGACACGGCCCAGACUCCUACGGGAGGCAGCAGUGGGGAAUUUUGGACAAUGGGGGCAACCCUGAUCCAGCAAUGCCGCGUGAGUGAAGAAGGCCUUCGGGUUGUAAAGCUCUUUUGUCAGGGAAGAAACGGUUUGGUCUAAUACACUGAGCUAAUGACGGUACCUGAAGAAUAAGCACCGGCUAACUACGU